GAUGAACGCUGGCGGCGUGCCUAAUACAUGCAAGUCGAGCGAACGGACGAGAAGCUUGCUUUUCUGAUGUUAGCGGCGGACGGGUGAGUAACACGUGGAUAACCUACCUAUAAGACUGGGAUAACUUCGGGAAACCGGAGCUAAUACCGGAUAAUAUUUUGAACCGCAUGGUUCAAAAGUGAAAGACGGUCUUGCUGUCACUUAUAGAUGGAUCCGCGCUGCAUUAGCUAGUUGGUAAGGUAACGGCUUACCAAGGCAACGAUGCAUAGCCGACAUGAGAGGGUGAUCGGCCACACUGGAACUGAGACACGGUCCAGACUCCUACGGGAGGCAGCAGUAGGAUAUCUUCCGCAAGCGGCGAAAGCCUGACGGAGCAACGCCGCGUGAGUGAUGAAGGUCUUCGGAUCGUAAAACUCUGUUAUUAGGGAAGAACAUAUGUGUAAGUAACUGUGCACAUCUUGACGGUACCUAAUAAGAAAGCCACGGCUAACUACGUG
Molecule: ribosomal RNA, 497 nt
Filed under: uncultured bacterium
Lineage: Bacteria
Description: partial 16S ribosomal RNA
Rfam family: Bacterial small subunit ribosomal RNA
Source: RNAcentral